This 627-nucleotide long non-coding RNA is filed under the name Pan troglodytes (chimpanzee). RNAcentral describes it as "long non-coding RNA NONPTRT013719". The record is from RNAcentral. Lineage: Eukaryota; Metazoa; Chordata; Mammalia; Primates; Hominidae.
AGCAAGAAGAAGAUGUGAGACCCACGAGACAGAGAAUCUAAACCCAGAGAUGGGCAAAGGCAGUUCAGGGAUGACAGCCAAAGGAGGUCUCAAGAUGGCAGCUGCCAGUUAUGGAUAACAACAUAUGACUUGGAAAAAUUAACAUGUGUAAAUGCUACAAACAAUACCUCAAAAGUGUUACUCGCUGAAGACAGAGACCAGGAGUGUAGUGAAAGAUAGUUGGCAGUCAUCCAUAAUCUCAGGAGAAGACAGCAAACUGGCCAAAAAGCAAAAGCAGAUGGAGGGAGACUGGAGAGCAGAAUCAGUGAAGGAGUCGUGAUGAUGCUGCGCUGCUGGCUUGAGUGGUUCCAGCCAAGGAGUGCAGGUGGCCUCUAGAGGGUGGGAAAAGCAAGUUAAACGGAUUCUCCUCUAGAGCUUCCAGAAGGAACCAGCUCUGCUGACACCUUAAUUUUAGCCCAUAGGACCCAUAAAGGAAGUAAUCGUUCUUGCACACUGGGCUUGGGGGCUGAAAUUCCUACUCUCUACACACCAAUGUUUUCACUUCUGCUUCAGGGGAGGGCAUCCACUGUGGGCCACAUGCUUUAUACAUGCUUGUUCUAGUUCAUCUUCACAACCCAAUGAGGUCAU